CUAGAAUGAAGUUGGCUGGACAUAAAGUUUACUGGACCUCAAGUAGUCUGUGUCACCCGACGGGAGUCAGAAACGUCAUUUUUGUGCGGACCGGCGACUCGACGGACCCCGGCCGAGGACGCCGCUCGAACCGCGGUUGCGGAGGAGCGCGCCGAUACGAGUCGGAGACGGCUCGUACAGUCGGCGCACGAGAGCGGUCCGGACGAAGACAUUCGGGAACCGAGGACGAAGACGCUCGUCCACUGCGGACGAAGACACCGGUCGACGCGCGAGGAAGAUGCUCCGGAACACGGGAAGAACGCCACACUCCCGAGUGCGGGAAGACACUCGUCAACGCAGAAGGAGACACGCAUCAAUGUCGGGCCGGCGCGAUUGUUUUAAAGACGAUUUAACGUGUAAAAUGAAUGUACGUGUUGUUUGUAACGAUG
Molecule: long non-coding RNA, 428 nt
Organism: Homarus americanus (American lobster)
Lineage: Eukaryota; Metazoa; Arthropoda; Malacostraca; Decapoda; Nephropidae
Exons: 3
Source: RefSeq, a predicted model, not a curated record